CCUACGGGAGGCAGCAGUGGGGAAUAUUGCGCAAUGGGGGAAACCCUGACGCAGCAACGCCGCGUGAGUGAGGAAGGACUUCGGUCUGUAAAGCUCUGUUAAUGAGGAAAAAAUGGUAGUUGGUCUAAUAGGCCGAUUAUUUGAUGGUACUCAUAGAGGAAGCACCGGCUAACUUCGUGCCAGCAGCCGCGGUAAUACGAAGGGUGCAAGCGUUGUUCGGAUUUAUUGGGCGUAAAGCGCGCGUAGGCGGACCUGCAAGUAAGAUGUGAAAUCUCGAGGCUCAACCUCGAAACUGCGUCUUAAACUACAGGUCUAGAAUCUCGGAGGGGGAAGGGGAAUUUCGCAUGUAGGGGUAAAACUCCGUAGAUAUGCGAAGGAACACCAGAGGCGAAGGCGCCUUCCUGGACGAGUAUUGACGCUGAGGCGCGAAAGCGUGGGGAUCAAACAGGAUUAGAUACCCUGGUAGUCCACGCUGUAAACGAUGAACACUAGGUAUUGGAGGAUUUGACCCCCUUCAGUGCCGUAGCUAACGCGUUAAGUGUUCCGCCUGGGAAGUCGGUCGCAAGACUUAAAACGUUAAAGGAAUUGAGCGUGAGAGUGCGACGACGACGACGAGGGAGGAGG
This 624-nucleotide ribosomal RNA is filed under the name uncultured bacterium. Its description in RNAcentral is "bacterial SSU rRNA". It matches the Rfam family "Bacterial small subunit ribosomal RNA", at positions 338 to 944 of the family's 1533-position model. The record is from RNAcentral.